AUUGAACGCUGGCGGCAGGCCUAACACAUGCAAGUCGAACGGUAACAGGAAGCAUCUUGCUUCUUUGCUGACGAGUGGCGGACGGGUGAGUAAUGUCUGUGAAACUGCCUGAUGGAGGGGGAUAACUACUGGAAACGGUUGCUAAUACCGCAUAACGUCGCAAGACCAAAGAGGGGGGGCUUCGGGCCUCUUGCCAUCGGAUGUGCCCGGAUGGGUUUAGCUAGUAGGUGGGGGAACGGCUCACCUAGGUGACGAACGCUACCUGGUCUGAGAGGAUGACCAGCCACACUGGAACGGAGACACGGUCCAGACUCCUACGGGAGGCAGCAGUGGGGAAUAUUGCACAAUGGGCGCAAGCCUGAUGCAGCCAUGCCGCGUGUAUGAAGAAGGCCUUCGGGUUGUAAAGUACCUUCAGCGGGGAGGAAGGGAGUAAAGUUAAUACCUUUGCUCAUUGACGUUACCCGCAGAAGAAGCACCGGCUAACUCCGUG
Molecule: ribosomal RNA, 490 nt
Filed under: uncultured bacterium
Lineage: Bacteria
Description: partial 16S ribosomal RNA
Rfam family: Bacterial small subunit ribosomal RNA
Source: RNAcentral